Cordylochernes scorpioides is the source of this 27008-nucleotide non-coding RNA. The record is from the annotation of a GenBank genome assembly. Lineage: Eukaryota; Metazoa; Arthropoda; Arachnida; Pseudoscorpiones; Chernetidae.
CAGGCUUCAGGUCGAUUUCCUCCAUGAAUUUUCCGUAAAGGGCCUGUGACCUCCUCCAACGGGUUAGGUCCGGGGUGUCCUCCACAUGUAUAGACUGUGGAGGCGGAGGUGUGGCCAUGGCCGGUGACGAUUCCAUGUCCUGGGGAGCGGGUGGUGGUGUUGGCUCAGCAGGCCGAGGCGCAGGCAGUGGAGGUGUAGGCACUGCGGCUGGUGUUGUCCUCAGCUGAGCCUUGACCUGUCCGAGGACUUUAUAGAUAUUGCUGCCUGCUCCGGGUCUCAGAUCCAAGAUUUGUUUGAUAAGGCCAGCGAGAGCAUCGCCCUGCGGAGGGGAAGGGGACAUAGCAGAAUUCGUUCUUCAAACUCUUUUAAAAAGGCAGCGGAACUGUUCCGGGACAUCUAUUCUUCUGUUUAUGCUGUCUUUACAACCAGAAACCAAGGAUUCCAAAAUUAAUCUUUCCCCUUUGUAUCUGAUGUUGUUGUAAUGGCAGAUGGGGUUAUCCAGAUCAAAACUAUGUCCUGUGUUUAACGUGUGUUGGUACAGAAGGGAUCUGGGGUCUUUUGAGCGGAUAUUGUAUUUGUGUUCUUUGAUUCGGUUUUCGAUUUUUCUGCCUGUUUCUCCUACAUAAACGGAUUCACAAUCGUUGCAGGCAACCGAAUAAAUCGCGUUGCUUUUAUGUUGAACAUCAUGUUUAACUCCUGGUUUGGUAAUGGGGUACCUCAGUAUAUGUCCUGUUGUGCUUGUGCUGCGAUAGGUGAACUGGAUACCAUAUUUCCUCAAAUCAUGGGCUAUUCGCUGAUUGGUAGGGGAGAAAUCUAUAAAACCCCUGGUUCUAUUGACCGCGAGGGUAACCUUCUUGAACGUGAUGAAUGUAUGUUUUCUUAUAAAGUCCGGUGGGUAUCCAAAUGUUCGUAGGUUAUUGUAAAUAUUCUCUUUUUCUUUUUCUUUUAAAGCUCGAAGGGAACAAUGGGUAUGGAGUCUCUUAGUUAGGGUUUUAACAACUGAUAUUUUGUAAGAGACUGGACUGUAGGAGUUAAACGGGAUAUAUGAUGGUUUGGCGGUGUCUUUGUAAUAGACAGUUGUUUGAAAAUUAUUCCUAUUUCUAAAAAUGAGGGCAUCCAGAUAAGGUAAGAUGUGGUUUUUAUAUACACUAAAGGGUUUUAAAUCAGCAUUAGUUACAUUUAAACUUUCUUUGAAAUAAUCUAUAAUCUGUUCUUUGCCAAAAUCUUCUUCAACAUUUAAUAUUUUAAUAGUAGGAGACCUACCUUUGGGGACUUUUGGAGUUAGCUUAGACCUAAGAUGUUCAUUUUCAUUUAUGAAUUUUACUAUUGUGUUUACAUUUUCCAUUGUGGGAACUUCUAUGGUGCAUCCCUUUUUGUUUGGAAUAGCAUUUGCUCUAAUUAUUUUUAGAUUAGACAAAGAAAUAUUUUCUUUAAGGAAUUGCACGAUGUUGGUAUUUUCUGGGAGUUUUGAUUCAAUUACUAUUUUUCCAAAUAGAUUAGGGGAACUUUUUGGCUGGGCUAUGGAGGUUGGUGCAGUUGGUAGGUUAGAGGCCAAAACUGCACUGUAACUUUUCUCACUUUUUUCCAUUAAUAUUUUCAAUUUUUCAUCGAUUAGAGCAUUAUUUUCACUAAUUAAGUCUUGAGUAGAUUUUUUUAAACCAUCAAUUUUUUCUUCAAAGUUUUUUUGAAUAUUUUCAAUAUUUUCUUGAUUCUUUAAUAAAUCAUCCAAUUUAGUAUUAAAAGCCAUAUUUUCUACAUUUUCUGGUAAAACUUUUAUAAAUUCAUUCAUAUCUGUUUGAAUUAAAUUUAAAAUCUUUUUUUUGAGCAUCCAUUUUCGGAUUUUUGGCAUUUAAGAAUGUGGAAAUAUUUCCCAUAAGUGUUUCCAGCAUAGGAAACAUUUCUCUACCCAAAGAAUUUAUUUCCAUUUUUAAAUUAAAAAGUAUACCAAAAAAAUGGCACACAAAAUAAAAUCUCGAUGAACGCAUCGAGGUCGUUUCUUGUUGCGUUCCGUGUUGAUAGUGUGGAGGAUUUCCUGCUUGAUGAUGUUGAGGAAGCGGAGGACUCCUCGAUGGCAGUCAUCUCGAUGUCCUGUGCAGAGGGCCGAGACUUCGCUGAUUGAGGGCUUACGGAACCCCUAGGUGCCCGCAAGGGCGGAGCAGGUGUCACAGGUGGAGGGGCAGGUGGCGUCUCCUCCGCAGGUGAGGCCGGGGGCGCUGUUGUUGAUGGCCGGGGUGCGCCUGCUGGUUGGAUCGCAGCUCGGGCCGCGGGCGAAGCGCCGGAGAUCUCCAAGGGAGGCGCCGGUGCUGGAUGCUGAGACGUUGGCCUCUGAGGCGGUGCAGGGGCGGUCGAUGGUGGGACGCCGGCAGGGGAGGCUGGUGGUGCCGAACUGGUGGUGUUAACCCGCCCUGCCAGCAGGGGGCAGUUGGCCCUGAGGUGCCCCUGGCCGUGGCGUCUGGAACACUUGAUGCCGGUGGACAGAUAAGCGGGCCAAGCCUCGCCUUUGAUGGUGAUGUCGAGGCGGGUGGGGAGCCUCUCGGUGGUCACUCCUUCGUGGAAGACGAUGAACGCCUCAUGGCGGCUGUCGGUGUAGGUGUAUGGGCCGGCCUUCAUCAUUUUGGGCGCGAUGGAUGUAGUGCGCCCAUAGGGCCUAAGGGCGUUGAUGAUGGCUGCGUCCUCCACGAAGAAGGGGAGGUUGCCCACCGUUAUCCUCUCCGCUCUUUUGCGGAAAGGGAAAGCCCUGAGGAGAGUGCCCUCAACCUCAAGGCCGUUGUUUAUGAGGCGCUCGGCGAGGCCUCUGUUUGCCAGCCCCAGGAGUUGGUGCCCGUUUACCUUGGAGACUUGACGACUCCGGCGGUUCCUCCAAGUAGCCUGUCCAGCGCCCCCAGGUAAUGGAAGGGCUUCAGUUCGGGGCCGUGUUCCAGGUAGACGCAGUGCUCCUCAGCAGAGGACGCCUGCUGCGCCCGGGCCUCCGCGAUGUGGGCCCUGGUUGUCGGGAUCUCCUGUGCCCGCGGCACCGAACGCGCUGAUGAUUGCGUUCGGCGACUGCUCCUGGCACCUCCGAUGUUGGAGGAUGGUGCAGCUGCUGUAGGCGAAUUCGAUGAUUCGCGGCGCCUCUUCUUGGUCUUCACGACAGUAAAGUCAUUGUCUGUCCCGGGGUUCAUCUCUUCGUCACAAUCUGCCCAGUUUCUAAUAGCAAGGGCAGCGCUAUUGGAUGACGAAGUUGCCGCUAAGCCGGACGUGACGUCGACGCGCGCGGCGGCCAGAUUUACAUUUCCGCCGUUAGCCGGCGGAUUUACAUACUCUUGAGUAUUAGAGUUUUCUUUAUAGAUUUCUCUAUAAAGUUCGUUUUUCGCUGAAUUCUUGCUACCGGUUGGAGGUGGGAUGCUGGGCCUUCCAGGCCUUUGUCCAGCAGAUCCUGGGCUCCUUGGCGAUGCCGAAUUUGGCAUGUUUAAGGAUGCAUUCUACAGCAGUCAGUUGGCUGUCAGAAUUGGUCCUCCGGGACUCAUGCCUCCCCUGCCACAGCAUUCUCACAUACAGGUGAGCUCCUCUUCAAUCAUUAACAUUGUUCCCCCCUACAGCAGACAUCCUUUCAUUCCAUUUACAUUUAUUUAGACCACCAGCUAGCUAUAUAAAACCAAUUACAUUAUAUUUGUCUUCCGCAUCCUCAACAUAUAUAUAUAUAUAUAUAACAAUAAAUAGUUGUUUAGUUUUAUGGUUUAGUUUUGUAUUAAAAUUAUCUUUAUUAUUUUGAGUAUUUAAAUUCAAAUUAUAAAAUUUGUAAAUUGUUAUUAUUUAGUAGAGAGAGAGAGAGAGAAAAAAAAAUCCUUUACUUCUAACACAUCAUUCAGUUAAUUAUAUAUUUAUAAUUAAUAACAAUAAAAUUUAACAACGUAACGUCUUUUGCAUCGGCUUUUACACGUCAUUUAGACAUACUCUAACCUAUAUAUAGAAUAAUAGAAGUGAGAAUAGUUAGUGAAAAGAGAGAAAGACAGAACCAUGCACUUUUAGUCAAACUAAUAAUAAGAAAGAGAAAAGUUUUGUAAAGAAGGUAGAUAAGAUAUAUAUAUAUAUAUAUAUAUAUACUAGUAGAAAAGCCAAGCCCGUCCAAGGACGGGAUCGGCUAGAGCAGGUGGAUUGAGAGGUUUAAAUCGGUUCAAGUUUGACUUUUCCUUUGGAACAGCAUUAAUGAAAAGUUUUACUGUAUGUCGUUUGUUCCAAUUCGAAAUACUUUGCUCUACAUUUUGGGCAAACUUGAUCAAGUUGGCCACAAAAGUGCAGGGGAAUUUGAUCUUCCUCGAAACAUGUCCCUGUUGGCAAAGGUAGAUUAUCUCCCUGUCGAAUUCUUUGCAUCCUCAGCCUACUGUUUUCCCUUUGAAAUAUGGUGUCAGGGAGUCGCUCAAGGACUGGCUUCAGCUGCUCAAGAGCCAAGGAUAUUUUCUUCGGUGAUUCUUCCUCCCGAGAGCUUUCCUCCUGCGCUCUGGGAACAGGAGGGAGGGGCAAGGUAGGAACAGCUAAUUUAGUUUCGCUAACUUUGCUGGAGAAGGACAUUUUUCCCGCUGGUGAAUUUGCGACGCUUGUAGCAGGCGUUGGUUGGACGGGAGUGGACACCUCGGGUGCCGAAAUAUUUUUGGAGGGGGUCUCCUGAGGCUUGCCAAGUGCAGCUGGGGGAGUCACGGUAAGUGCUGCAGAGGAUGACGAUUGAGUGGUAGGAGGAAGGUGCGCUAGGUCCUGCCUGGGUGUUUGUUGAUGAGUGGGACGUUCCUCCCUGUCUCUCCUGGGGCAGCUGGCUAGCCGAUGUCCCUGGCGAUGGCACAUGCUGCAUUUCACGCUUAGAGGGGGAGAGGGUGGGACAUAGUUAGGUUAGGUGGGGUUCUGGGUGAAUCAUGGCAUACAGUGGUCACAAAGUGUCCUUGUUAGCGUCCAUGACUUCAUCUAGCUCCAUGAAGUUACAGAGGGUGUCCGCGAGGUUCUUCACCUCCCCUACCAGGCACUUGAUCAGCUCUGUCCGCUGCUCAAUGAAGCAGACAAGGUGCAAGAUUUGAGGAAGGGCUGGCCGAGAGAGUGCAGGAUCUGGUAGUGGCGGGAGAGGACCAUGUUAUUCUCCUCCACCAGAGCCAUGAUGUCCACCGAGGGUUGAAAAGGCUUGGAGGCCUUCUUCUUGGAGGGAUCCAUGAUGGGAGAGCAGAAAGGAAGAGAUGUUUCCAUAGCAAGUGCUAUCUGGAAACUGAUCUCUGAGAAACUGAUGAGGUGAUCUGAUUAUACAAGGUCAUGGAGACUGAAAAUUCAUGGAUUAAAUUUAUAAUCUUGGUAGGGUUGUAAUAUAAGUCCUGUCUUGAGGUUUCCAUACAUUCCAAGAGGUGGUCCUGCAGAUGGUGCAUUGUGGGAAGACACCAACCUGGAAAAGGAGCGAUUCUUUCUAUUCCGGGUUAAUUGGACUUUUAAAGCAAGGUCUUCUAACCCCUAUGGCAGAAUGCCACUUCCAGUGGCAAGGGACCCUAGGAUCUGGCAGCAAAGAUGUCUUGCAGGGGUGGAGGAAACAUAGAGAUGGCAGGGGAACAGCGUCUGGGAGCAGUGAGUGGCAGGAGUCUUGGCUGGGGAGGAAAUCCAGUAGGUGAGGACAAUGAAGGCAGCAGGUCCUGGAAGCCUAGAAUUUGAGAGCCCUAGACCUCAGGAAAGAGCAGCCAGAGGCUCUCGCCUCAUGUUUGUCCGGAAGGCCCUUGGCACAGCAGUUGGCACACUUGGUGGUGUGCUGGUUGGCUAGGGAUGGACAGGCACGGCCCUCGUGACCUUCUUCACCGCAGUGGAAGCACUUUGGAGCCCUGGAGCAUUGUCCGGAGUUGUGACUAAAAUAACAAUAUUGUCAUCAAAGUUCUGUUUUAGAUUAUUGAGUUUGAAAGCCAAAUUUCCUUAAUUACUUAUGUUGGCCUCAAGGUCUACAUUUGUAUCAAAUGUUGAGGACAAUGGCACUUCCAAUAUUACAAUUCUUAUAUGUAACAUUGUGAUUUAUCCAUGGUCCAGGGGACAAUUUGGUGGGGGAUGUUUUUUUCUUUUUUACUUUGAAAAAUCUUCUUCAACGUAUUUCCAAGAAAUUCUGCAGCUUUUUUGACGACUACUUUAGCUGCAGCUUUUGCGGCGGAUCCUCCCACUUCUGCUGCCAAGGCCUGCUUUGGAGGAGCAAAGGCAAAACAGCCAAAACCACCGCUUCUUCCAUUGAAGGGUGGACCGCCUCCUCCUUCUUGAUUCUUUGUCUCCAGAUUGGUUCUCCUCCAGUCUCUUGGCCACCUCUUGUGGAGGUAGGAGGCCAGAUGCUGCGCCAGGUCGUGGAAGUUGGUCCUCAGAGCAGCGUGGUACUGGAGCUGCUCGACCCCCACCAGCUGGCCAUUGAGCUCCAGGGCCUCUCCGCUCACCUCCAGGAACCUCCGGAACACCUCCCUCAGCUCCUCCACUUGGCCUGAGGGGAACUGGCCCACCUGGGAGUCCUCCAGGAAGGCCUGGCAGUAGGCCAGGGGGCCGGCGUUCACCUUUCUCCAGCUGGGAUCUGGUCUCCACCAGGGUCCCGUCCUGCAGAGAGAUCCGGUAGUCCACUACCAGUUUAUUGCCCAGACUAGGGGUAGCUGAUCCCUUGCCCUGCUCCACCACUCUCUUGCGGACUCCUCCAUCCCCGGAGAGGUCCUCCCAGAUCUCAGCCUGGUCUUGGGUGUCCAUGGGGCCUGAUGAUGGGUAGGCCAUGUACAGCCAGUGAGUGUUCUGGCCAAAACGUCCAUACCAACCAGGGGUCUUGUUGUUGGCAAUGGCAUACUCCAGGCUUGGCAUGGUGAAGAUGUAUUUCACUCCGCCUAAAGACGCGGCGUCACCCAAUCCGGAGAGGAAUAAGGGGUAGCUGAUCCCUUGCCCUGCUCCACCACUCUCUUGCGGACUCCUCCAUCCCCGGAGAGGUCCUCCCAGAUCUCAGCCUGGUCUUGGGUGUCCAUGGGGCCUGAUGAUGGGUAGGCCAUGUACAGCCAGUGAGUGUUCUGGCCAAAACGUCCAUACCAACCAGGGGUCUUGUUGUUGGCAAUGGCAUACUCCAGGCUUGGCAUGGUGAAGAUGUAUUUCACUCCGCCUAAAGACGCGGCGUCACCCAAUCCGGAGAGGAAUAGGGAGAUUGGCUCCGGAUUGUGGGUUCCCGCGUGCUUCAUUGCGCGGAUGAAGUCUCUUUCAGGGACUGUGGUACCACGGGGGCUCAAAUCUGAGAGCUCAAGAACUCUCGCGAUGGCGUGGAGCCCCGCGUAAUAUGCAAAUGUCCCGGGGGAAAUCCUUUUGGCGAAGGAGGUGCCGGAUGCAGUGAGGCGCAGGUAGGUUUCCUCCACCAGGGUGUUCCACCCGAAGAACCCUGGACGCACAAAGUUAUAGCCACGCUUUAUGCUACCACUGUUAGAAUGGUUUUAGGUUUUAUUUUAAGCUGUAUUUUUGCUUGUAUGUUUCUUUUAAGACACACAGGUCUUACAGAGGAUUCUCCUUGGGGUUACAAGGCGGAGAAUGUUUUGUUGGUCCAGUUCCACAGGCGGUCCUGUCGGUGUCUCGGAAGAAAUCGGCUCCUGGGCCGCUGGCUGAGUCGAGUGUUCCGGCUCCUCCAGGGCCGCAGAGUUGCUUCCAGGUGUCUUCUUCUUGAUCCUCGUAGAUGGUGCGCUCUUUUGGGCCCGUUUUUCAACCGUAGAGCAAUCCUGGUGGUGUUUGGCGCUUCUGCAGGUCCGCAGGUCUUUGAAGCUUUGUUGGCAGACCGUGCAGUCAAAAACCACGUUGUUGAUCUUGUGUAGUACACGAAGGUGCUUCACCAGAUCGUUGUGCUUUUUGUAGACACCACUGCGGGUUACUCCCACCAUCCUGUAACACUCGGGACAUUUAAAGACCUCAGGUAGCUGAUUGCUGAGGUAAACCAGGUAACCAGGUAGUUCCAGGCCGGCAGGGAGUCAGGAAGUAGGGGCAGGGCUGUCGGGCUGAAGUCUUGUACUCCAAGCAGAAGGGCUGUCUGUAGCCUGUGUAGCAUAAAAGCUGGACAGGAGAAGAGGAGGUGAUCCACAGUCUGUGACUCUUCCAGGCAGUGAGGACAUGUUGGAUCUCUAUGCCAGAGAUCUGCCAGAACGUGGCCGUGACCGGUAAGGAUGGUAGUGGUGGCCAUCCCAAGACGUAUUUUGGACAGGAAUGACCUAAGGCGGAUUGGGGAGGUCGCAAAUCUUUUUAGUUUUCUGUUAUGGUAAUCUUGGGUGUAGACUAAGGUCCAAGCUUCCAGAGCAGAUGAGUGGGCACGGCUGCGGGCAAAGCUUUGGGGAAUGAUGGAGUAGGAUUGUUCCAGGUUAGAGAUUGCUGCAGUCUUUGCUGCCUGGUCAGCCAGUUCAUUGCCUGAAAUUCCACUGUGGCCCUUUACCCAACAGAGGCUGACCUGAGGUGCUUGGUCUAGCGCUAGAAUUAUCUCCGCAAUUAGAGCCGUUUGGGCAGGACCAGGAGUACAUAUAGUGGCCAGUGCAGAUCUGCAGUCAGACGCUAUAGCAGUGCUGUAGUUGUAAGGUUUUAUUCUUACGUCUCAUUAGAACAUCUAUAUCCUGAUCCUAGCUAACUCAGGGGUUAAACCCAGGUACAUACAUAUUUGUAAUUUAUUAUACAUAGUAAUAACAAUACGCCUUUUUUGAAUAAUAACCACUGUAGAUUAUAUUUUAAACACAUACAUUCAAAAUCUAUAACACACACCAAGGUUUUACAUGUGAUAUGUGGUUAAAUAUGAAUAUCAACACACAUUGUUCAAUAUCCACACUCGUUUUAUUCGGCAUAAGAAAAAUUUUACACAAAAAUGAAAACAUUCUUUAUAUGUGGAUAGCAUCAGUGGGCAUAGGGAUAUUGGGACAUUAGAUUAUCUCAUCUUACAAAAUUUUUAAAUCCUAUGAAGAAGUGACUGAGAAUCUACGACUUGGUAAUUGGUAAUAAAUUGACUUACCUAGUAUCUCGACUACAUACCUCUCCUGAUAAGAAUUCUAUCUGUUCCUUCCGAAAGCUUGCCCCCAGCCCCGUUGGACGCUCGAUAAAAACUAAAAUCUAGACUGCCGUCUUUUCCCUACAGCGCCCUCAAUCUCAAUCAUUUCCUACAGAGUAAUAAAACUUGAAUAUACAAAAAUUCUCGGAAUAUUAAAAAUAAUAAUAUUAUUAUAUUUUAAAAAAUUAAGGAAUAAAAUAAUAUUUUAUUAUAUUUUUAUUUUAAAGGAAAAAUUAUGAAUUAGUAAAUAUACUUGCUCGACUUAUGAGAAAUCAAUUUAGAAUAAAAUAAAUAUUAACGGAAAUUUAAAAUAUAUCUUUCUUAUUGAGAGGUAAUUUAGAUUAACAAUGAAAUCAAAUAAAAUUUAAGAUGCCUGCCCCUCUGGGAAAUUUAUAUACUAAUUUCUUCUUUAAGAAAUCCAAAAAUAUUACUAAAUAUGCCCCAUCUAUCAAAAUGUGAUGUCACAAGUUAUAUACAAAAUUAAAAGAAGGAAGAAAGGAAAGAAAAAAAAAAAAGGAGGUGAAGAGAUGGUUUGGUUUAACAAAGACGAAUGCUCGAAGUCCUUUUCUUUCUUGUCGAGGCGGCUUCUCCACUGUCCAUCAGCUUUCUGUUUAUGCUGUGGGUGAACUUCUGCUUCUGUUUGCAUCGGGCUUCUGGCUACUUAAUCAGGGCCGAUGUCAUCCUCCUACAGCAGAUCUUGGGAUACGCGUCCAGGGCUGUGUCCUCCCCUGGCAGAUCUUGGGAUUCACGUCCAGGGCUGUGUCCUCCCCUGCCUUGGCCUUUGAACCACCGUCGGCCAUUGCUGUGGGACUUCCAUCUGGACACCAAACACUUUCGGCGAGACACUGCGUGUAUAUAUAUAUGAUGUAAAAGAAUGUUUACAUCUUUGUUGGGUCUGUUUGGUGGAAAAUCUGACCCAACAAUUCCUCCCCUGCCAGAGUAAAACAAAAUGUGUUUAUUCCAAUUCAGAUCUGUUCUUACUCUAAGAGAAAUAUGAAAUUGGGAGAAAUGCAUUUUUUUUUUUAUGAUACCAGUAUGUAAUCACCGACACUCAGAACCGACACCCUGAAGGUCUUGUGGAUCGGGGAACCUCGAAGAAUGAAGUCGAGUCUUGUGUAGACACUCUGCGUCUUGUCCAUGUGUCAGGUUUUCCGGUCUCGUUUUUAACUCCUUUGAUGAAAUUCUCGAUCAAGGAAAAGAGUGUUUCCCUGUCGGGUGCAGCUGUCCACUUUCCAUCCUACUCUUCCUGAAAGUAAGUGAGGGAUUUUCAGGGCGGGCGCUGCUGGAGUUCAUCAACUGGCUGUGAAGCUGGAGGAGGGGUGACCGGAGUAUCCUGUGGCAAGUGGGCAGGGUCGUCAGGUGGGGCGGCUGCUUGAAGAUCAACGCUGUCCAAAACCUGCGGCGUUUGCACGUUGGGAGGGUCGCUAUUUACGACCGGCAGCCGUAGGUUGUCUGUUGCUUCCUCUUGUUGGACCAAGGGACUCUGACGGCUGUGCAGGGAUGGAUGCUGGAGGGGCGUAUUUCUUCAGAGGAAGUACCCCUUUGAUCUUCCUCGGCGGCGUUCUCUGGUAGGGGGGGGACAAAAGUUGUUUGGCCCGCUUCGCUGGUAGCCAAACUUGUCCCGUGAGCCUCCGGUCUGAAGGGUGUAGUCUCGGCGGAGAGGUCACUCACAGGGGGCGGGGGUGUUUUGUUGGUCCAGUUCCACAGGCAGUCCUGUCGGAGUCUCUGAAGAAAUCGGUUCCUGGGCCGCUGGCUGAGUCGAGUGUUUCGACUCCUCCAGGGCCGUAGAGUCGCUUCUAGGUGUCUUCUUCUUGAUCCUCUUAGAAGGUGCGCUCUUUUGGGCCCGUUUUUCAACCGUAAUCAUGCCAUAGCAAACUCUUUCAAAAUCUGUAGAGAUAUUUUGCCCAUAGAAGAGAAGCAAAAAAUACUUUUGAUUCCAGCAGGUUUAAAUACAAAUUGAAAUAAGAUUAAUAAACUAAUGUAAAUAUGUGAAAGAGUUGUAUAAAAGUGAAUUCCUGCUCCGCCUUUGGAAGGAGGGAUGAAGAGCACCUCGUUGCUGGCCUGCAGAGGCAGGCCAGGCCAUUUCUUCCCUAGUCUCUUCAUCAGCAGGUCCACUUCCCUGAAGGUCUUGUGGAUCGGGGAACCUCGAAGAAUGAAGUCGAGUCUUGUGUAGACGAAGGUCUUGGUGGCGUCGAUCUUCUGCCAGGGAGCGAGGAGGCUGCUAUGGAUUUUUUCUGCAUCUUCAUUGAUUCCCUUGAUGGCUUCCUCAGGGUUUCUUGUUUUGAUAAAUCCGGUGGGUACUCCAAGGUGACAGUACGUGUCCUCUUCUCUCAUUGCUGAGAUCGGCUGUUCUUGGAUGCAGAAGGUCCUGGUCAGGGUAGUCCUCUUUUUCCUGCAGUCCAAGUGAAGAGUCGCGCAUUUGGGGCCCUUGAAGUGGAGUCCGAUCUUUCCCGCCAGAUCGCCGGUGGUGUCCAGGGGCGCUUGUAGAGACUCCUUGUCCUUGACCAUGAUAAGGAGGUCAUCGGCAUAGGCCAGCACCGACACAUAGUGCCCGAGUAAGCAGACACCAUGGUCCUUCGCCAUCGAGGCGAGGGUGCAGACUAUUACCUCUAUGGCCACGUUGAAGAGGGUUGGGCUUCCAGGGCAGCCUUGCUUCACCCCGCGUUUAAAGGGGAUGGGCAAUGUGGUUCCCAGCAGGGUCCUGAUCUAGGUAGAGGAGUUCGUGUACAGGUCCCUGAAUACAGCGAUUACCUUCUUAGGGAUACUAAAUGCAUCUAACACAUUGAAGAGGUUUUCGUGCGGUACCGAGCCGAAUGCAUUUUCAAGAUCCAGCCAGGCGAAGCAAGCUUGUCUGCUGGUUCUCUUGGUCUCCUCGAUGGCACUCUGGACCACAAAAUUAUGUUCCAGGCACCCCUCGAACUCCAUGAAGCCCUGCCUUGGAGAGCUGUCCCGUCGUCGCUGCCCAUCUCCUGAGCUUAUCAGCCAGGACCGCGGUGUAAAGUUUUGCAAUCGUGUUGCCCAGCGUGAUAGGCCUCCAGUUCCCUAGGUCCUCGGCGUCCCCUUUCUUGUGGACCAAGAUAGAGGAGCUUUCCUUCCAUGAAGGGGGUACCGCCCUCAUCUGGAAGAUCUGGGUGAGGAUGGUGGCAUUGGGAUCCACCCGUUUCAGUUCCUGGUAGCUGAUGCCAUCGGGACCAGGAGCAGUGUUUCCCAUCUUGAGAAGGCGGUACCAUACUGCGUUGGAAGAGAUGGGUUCUUCCAACUGGGCUCCGUCCUGGGGGGCGAAGUCCUUGAGGAGAUCUGGGUCGGGGCUGAACUCGGUGUUGUCCCCAACCAUGCGUUUCUCGAAGUGUUCUUCGAUCAUUUGGAUGGGGAUGGUGCAGCCCGGGGAGCGUUGGCCCAAUUUUGGCAUUUAAGAAUGUAGAAAUAUUUUCCAUUAGUUUUUCCAACACAGGAAACAUUUUUUUUCCUAUUGAAUUUAUCCCCAUUUUUAAUUUAAAUAAUGUAUUACCAAAUAAUUUGGCAUACAAAAUAAAAUUACCAACCUUAAAUUAAUUGGAAUAUUUUGUAAACAAACCAUUAUACGAGUCACCACAGAUUCUGUACAUCGUAUCAAAACUUCCAAUGAGAUUUCUCUACACACUGCUUGAAUCUCAUUCCAAAGAAUGUCUAGGUUACGUGGUUUACGUUUGUACACCCCAUCUUUUACUGUGCCCCACAAGAAGAAAUCCAGUGGUGUAAGGUCUGGAGAGCAUGCUGGAAACUCGAUUGGCCCCCUGCGUCCUAUCCACUGGCCCGACAAAUUUUGAUCCAGAUAAGCUCGUACAUCCCUGUGAUAGUACGGCGGAGCACCAUCUAGUUGAAAAUAAAAAUUAUCAUUACCGUAUAAUGCACGAAUGGCAGGAAAUAUGGAAUCAGCAAGCAUUGUUAGGUAAUUAAUACCAGUUACAGUGCCUUCAAAUCGAAAAGUAUACAUUUUUUUGAAGCACCCUGUAUUAGGGGGCGUUUUGUUGGUCCAGUUCCACAGGCAGUCCUGUCGGUGUCUCGGAAGAAAUUGGCCACUGGCUGAGUCGAGUGUUCCGGCUCCUCCAGGGCCGCAGAGUCGCUUUUAGGUGUCUUCUUGCUCCUCGUAGAUGGUGCGCUCUUUUGGGCCCAUUUUUCAACCGUAGAGCAAUCCUGGUGGUGUUUGGCGCUUCUGCAGGUCUUUGAAGCUUUGUUGGCAGACCGUGGCUGCCACCAAGGCUGAUCUUCUUCGGUGUCUUACCGGCGUUGGGGAGCUUGAUAGUAAUGUCUCCCAACGUUGGGUUGCGGACCCACUAAAUGCCGAUCCUUUUUGAGAGGCGUCGGGAAGCGUUUCUGGCAUCACUGCAGAGUGAGGUGAUGUCUCCACCAACCCUGGCAAAAUCACCGUCAAGUUUCCCCGACAGAUACCCUGCCAGGUCCUCUUCCAGUGCAGGCCGUCCCAGCUUCCUCUCCGCAACUCUUUUAAGAAGGCUUUUGGCGAGUGCAGAGGUUUCAGAGUCUGGGCUCGUGAGGAGCCGGAAGGCGUGUUGGAUCUUGGCUAAAUCGGUCCUGUCACCAAACGGCACCAUUCCUGCUCCCCCUUUGGAAGGAGGGAUGAAGAGCACCUCGUUGCUGGCCUGCAGAGGCAGGCCAGGCCAUUUCUUCCCUAGUCUCUUUAUCAGCAGGUCCACUUCCCUGAAGGAGGUCUUGUGGAUCGGGGAACCUCGAAGAAUGAAGUCGAGUCUUGUGUAGACGAAGGUCUUGGUGGCGUUGAUUUUUUCCACAUCCUCCUUGAUUCACUUGAUGGCUUCUCCGGGGUUCCUUGGCUUGUUGAAUCUGGUGGGUACUCCAAGGUGACAGUACGUGUCCUCUUCUCUCAUUGCUGAGCUUGGCUGUUCUUGGAUGCAAUGUCAGCAAUGGGUAUGCUAUUGCAUGCUCCGGUUUAUGGACCGAAAGGUCUGGGUGGCCACUGCUCCUAGGAUGUUCUUGGAUGCAGAAGGUCGUGGGCAGGGUAGUCCUCUUUUUCCUGCAGUCUAAGUGAAGAGUCGCGCAUUUGGGGCCCUUGAAGUGGAGUCCGAUCUUUCCCGCCAGAUCGCCGGUGGUGUCCAGGGGCGCUUGUAGAGACUCCUUGUCCUUGGCCAUGAUAAGGAGGUCAUUGGCAUAGGCCAGCACCGACACAUGGUGCCUGAGUAAGCAGACACCAUGGUCCUUCGCCAUCGAGGCGAGGGUGCAGACUAUUACCUCUAUGGCCACGUGGGGGGGGGUUUUGUUGGUCCAGUUCCACAGGCGGUCCUGUCGGAGUCUCGGAAGAAAUCGGCUCCUGGGCCGCUGGCUGAGUCGAGUGUUCUGGCUCCUCCAGGGCCGCGGUGUCGCUUCCAGGUGUCUUCUUGCUCCUCGUAGAUGGUGCGCUCUUUUGGGCCAGUUUUUCAACCGUAGAGCAAUCCUGGUGGUGUUUCUGCAGGUCUUUGAAGCUUUGUUGGCAGACUGUGCAGUCUAAAACCACGUUUUUGAUCUUGUGUAGAACACGAAGGUGCUUCACCAGAUCGUUGUGCUGCUUGUAGACACCACUGCGGGUUACUCUCGCCAUCCCGUAACACUCGGGACAUUUAACCCUUUAGGCGCCGGCCGCUUUCAAGGUCAUUACCAUAUAAGCACCAGCCUGCAAAAUAUUGAAAACGGUGCACUUUUGAUUUUCAUUUUUAAAACUAUUUAAUGCCUCGCAAAUUUCAUACAAAAAUUAUGUAGUAUGCAAUAGAAUAUGUACUUUUAGAUGCAUUGAAUAUUAAUUUAAUAAAUCAUAAAGAUAUAUUUUUAAAAAUAUAUUUAAUAUGCAAUUUUGGAAAAAAUAAAAAAUAUUUACAUUUUAAUUUCAAAUUGGGGGUAUAUAUAAUCAAGAUAUAUUAUAUUUGAAAGUUUUAUAAGGAAAUAGGAACAAUUUACUUUAUUUACAAGUGUGUUUCAGGGCGCAUAUUGCAUGAAGGGCUUUAUGACAUCCAGUGCAAAUAGUUCGGGAUCUUUUUCGGUUUUGUGGAGUGCUGCACUCCACACACCUCAUUUCCCUUUUUUGAGGCAAACUCUGGACUUGAAUCUGGCUGGUUGAAGGAUUGCAAGUUUCUUGAAUGUUUUCCACCAGGCUUUUUAUGACGGAGAUAUUGAAUUUCUGUCUAGACAACAGGGGAGAAUCUUUGCAAUGUUGAAGAUAGAUGAUGUAAAAAUCCGGUGGGCUGGCGUCGGGAGACUUCACUGGAAUGUCCGAGUUCCUGAUAAAAUUUAGGCCUAGGGUGUCCUUCAUUUCUUGUAGGAAUUGUUGGGUUUUGUUGGAGGUAUGGGAAGAGGCUUUGUCGUGAUGAAGGAACACUUUGUCCAUUUCCCCUGGGUAAAGGUCCUUCAGUUGUUCGAUGACAGGUUUCAGAACGCAUUCUAUAUAGAAUUCUGAGUUCACCUUCACCUUCGAUGGAACCUUUAUGAGCGGAAGGACUCCACGGCCAGUCAUUACCCCGACAACCAUGAAACCUUUAGGGAAAGUUUCGGAGCAUUGGUGAACCCAAUUAUCCGGGACCUGAUUGCCUCUUUUGAUGUAACAGAUCUUCCGGAUUCCAUUGCAAUACGUCACAUACAUCCAUGCUUCGUCCAAUGUUGCAGUAUAUUCCGAUCUGGAACCGGCCAGGUGUUCCUCGUAGAGCUUCCGGGCAUUCGUUGCACGGUUUUUCAUGUGGAAAGGGGUGAGCUUGUGAACCUUGCCUUUUCGUCGGGUAUCCAGUUCCAAAUCUUUGUGAAUGAUGUUAUUUAUCGUUUUUAGCGAUGUUCCACACAUUCUGGAAAGUUGGCGCUGAGAUGGUGGAUUUUCAGUAGUUGCUAGCCGCUUUACCUUGGAAACCGUGGCGGGGGUCCGCACCGGACGUGGUCGAUCGACUUGAAAUUUUUGCCCAUUGGAUUCAGCUUCCCUUUUCUUUCCGAUGCCAUUUACUACCCUACAUAUUGUAGCUUUGCCAACAUCUAGUCCUUCUGCUUUUAGCUUUUUCACUAUGACGCUAUAACUGUUUCCUUCUUUGGAAAGGGUCCGAAUUGUUUGUUCGACUUGGAGCGUUAGUCUCUCUCCCCCCAUGUUGCAAAAAUCAUGAUACCUGAUGAAAAUGAAUUCUCCAGAAGAUUCUAGAUCUAUUGGAACCAGUGUCGUGUGCAGCAUGCCUGCACGUGCAAAACGCGAGCGCGCGAAAAUCGUUUCAUUUGAAAGGAAACACCCUCCGUAAUUGGCAGUUUUUAUGGCAGCUGGAAAUCCUUUUCUAUUGGCCCUCACAGUUCCAGUCAGGUAAGUGCCAUUCUUGGCCAGAUCCCGAGCGAGAUCAAUGCUCGUGAAGAAAUUGUCUACCACAAUAUGAUGCCCCUUGUUCAACAAAUUAGAAUUGGUUAAAAGCUUCAUUGGAACAUCAUAUGAGAGACUUUUGUGGAUCUGGCCAAGUUUGCCUUUAUAUGGCUCGAACUGGAGGCAGUAUCCUGUCUCGGAUUCACAUACCAUCCAGAGCUUGAUCCCAAAGCGACCAUGAUGCUUUCCCGGCAUAUAUUGUCUGAUAUAGGUUUUUAACUUUUAAUUUGACAAUUUUAAUUUAUAUUUAGACAUUUUUCAUUUUAUUUUAGACAUUUUCAAUUUUAAUUUAGACAUUUUUCAUUUCAAUCCAGACAUUUUUCAUUUUAAUUUAGACACAUUGGCUUUUUAUAGAAAACUCCCUGUGUCUAAAUUAAAAUGAAAAAUGUCUAAAUUGAAAUGAAAAAUGUCCAAAUUAAAAUUGAAAAUGUCUAAAUAAAAAUGAAAGUGUCUAAAUUAAAAUGAAAAAUGUCUAAAUAUAAAUUAAAGACAUAGAUCGCGAAAGAAAGCGGCUUCCUUAGCGCUUCCUGCGUCCGGUGGAGUUGUUGAGAGUUUUCGUGAGGAUCCCCAUAUUUAUGACAUCAGGGCCACCGCUGGGGCAGUAGCUGCGGGUAUGAGCCUUGUCACCCGUCUCUCCGCAGAUGUCGCACACGUGGGACCGCAACACGGGACAUAGGAUGUGGCCGGUGACUGGGUCCCGCAGCUCGUGAGUGGCGAUAUACUCCCGCGUUUCGCCGUUCCGCGCGCAGAAGGCGCAGUGUAAGCGUCUGAUCAGCGGCGGGUAGGUGACAGGGGUCGGCAACAGUGGGGAUGUAGGGGAACUGCUGGGGACAGGGGACGUGUCGGGCUUCCGUCCUACUGUGAUUCCAAACUGUCUCAGCCUUCUUAUUUCAGGAUCCAAAUCCAGAGGACUGGGCUCUCCCCAGCAACCUGUCGUCUGACCCGGGGCCUCUCCUCCAUCUGAGCUACUGGACGCCGAAGUGGCUGACGAGGUCCAGGAUCCGCUGACAGGGGACGAGGGGUAGUUGCUGGCAGAAUAUAAAGAAAUGUUUAGCUGUAAUAUGACUCAAUGUGAGGCCCGAUAUGGGGAGCAGAAGUGGAGGGGGGAGAUCAUGUGACGUCGGCCGAUGUAUCGGCCGACUGGCGCUAGCUGACUCAAGGUCAUUGACGACCGAUCGGCCGGCUGGCGCCUAAAGGGUUAAAGACCUCAGGUAGCGGGAACGGCAUCCUAAACGGAUCACAAAGAGCAGGGGCAAGGUUGUGUACAUGUGUCACAUUUGUGUGAGAACCUGGUAGGCGUGUGGUGUCAGACGGGCUUAAAACCAGAGCAUCGUGUUUGUGUCACGUGUUACACAGUGUGCAUCAGCGACCUGGUUGUUAUUACCAGGAGGUAAACAAACCUGGUCACGUGACAAUGUGUGCAGAAACAUGCGCAAUAGGAUGGCCAAACUCGUCGAGACGAGGACGCAUGUCACGUGACCAAACAGACAUGGGUGCAAUAACCUGGUCGAUCGCCGGGCCGCGCGGCUCGCCGCUGGUCCCCGAGUCACGUGACCGCGCAGGCGUGAUUUCCGCUGUGUCAAGUACGAGACUUGGCAACGUGGAAAUCCCACCAGAAGCACUGUCCCGCGAACAGGGCCCAGCAGAAGUGCCAGGCCAAGAAAUUGGUGAAAUAAUUGCCUGCAUUUAAAAAUAUGGUUUGGGCUAUUAUCACGAAUCAAUAUUCUAUAACUGUAGAAGUCCAUUGAUGAAACCUUUUUAUUGGUUAUUGCACCUGAUAAUGGCUCAAUUUGCAUAAUGUUAAAAUGGUAGCCGUCUUCACCAUAAGGGAAUAUCAAUGGAUAUUGAAGGGCAUCAUAGGACCGAUGUGUUUUUGAGAUUUGCUGUAUUAAGAUAGGUCACGCCAUCCUCAAACUCGAUCGUUGAUAUUACAAAAUCACAUAAGAGGAAGGAGGCGGAGGAAGUCACCUCGACGCAGAACUCACUAGAGCCAUAAUGAGUGGAAAUAGUAGCCAUGUCAUCAGAACCAAAGGUUUGAUAGCCCACAAGCAGAGCACCAAGCCCAGUAAUAUGGUCAGGAGUGACCUUGGCGAUAGGCAUCCAGGAAAAUGCUUUGUCGCCAGCUCGGGGAGUGUAGGUGUAGGUUCUAGUGUCACUUUCUCUAAAAGUGACGGCUCUGUGGUCGCGUUGAAUGUCUGUGAGAUGCAUCCAUGUGUAGUCUACACUGGAGUUUGGAGUAUCCAUGGAAUAGGGAAUGAAACAGACCGAGAUUGUACCACCUCUAUUCCUUACAUCAGUGUUAGUCAUAAUCCGGAAAUGCAGCGAUUGGAGCCGAGCCUCACGAUAAUGGCAAAGAUAUUUACCAUCGUCGAUGCCAGCGUCCCAUUUCGCAGCAAGCCAUGGUGAAUUGUUAUUAUUUAAUAGAGAGAGAAAAAAAAAAAUUCUUUUCUUACGCAUCAUCCAUAUAUAUUUAUAAUUAAUAACAAUAAAAUUUAACAACGUAACGUCUUUUGCAAUCGGCUGUUACCCGUCAUUUAGACAUACUCUAAUUUAUAUAUAGAAUAAUAGAAGUGAGAAUAUAUUUAAUAGUAUAAAUUUUAGAAGUUAUAUAUAGAGAAAAGAGAGAAAGACAGAACGACAUAUAUAUAUAUGUCGUAAACCCGGGUAAGACAACAAAUGGGUUGGAAGCAGUCGGGGUUGAGUGGCAAGGCGUGCAGAGUGGGAAGUCCGCACGGGACAAUAAGGACAAAGUUUGGGACCAAAAGAUGCUCUCCCCAGUACGUCUCAAGUGGCACCAGGACCAGGGGAAAGUUGAGGAUUAACUGAGGAAAAGCUCGGCGUCCAGCCUGAAGCCGCGGGGACCGUCGUGAGAUGAUAAUGGCCUACAACCGAGCGGGGCUGUCUGAAAAUAUCUACUGUAACCUAAAUAAUUGUCGAAAUCUGGACGCCCCUUCUUUUGUCCGUCUCUGGAUCCCCCAGGUGUCCCGUGGCAAGCUGGUGUCACUUUGAGACGACUAGAAAAGGCGUCAUACUUUAUUACUUACAUAUCACAUUGUUUAAAUUACGAUAUAUAUAUAUGUAAUAUUGUUGCAAAUGUCCUCGGCGUCCCCUUUCUUGUUGAGCAAGAUAGAGGAACUUUCCUUCCAUGAAGGGGGUACCGCCCUCAUCUGGAAGCAGACCUGGAAGAUCUGGGUGAGGAUGGUGGCUUUGGGAUCCACCCGUUUCAGUUCCUGGUAGCUGAUGCCAUCGGGACCAGGAGCAGUGUUUCCCAUCUUGAGAAGGCGGUACCAUACUGCGUUGGAAGAGAUGGGUUCUUCCAACUGGGCUCCGUCCUGGGGGGCGAAGUCCUUGAGGAGAUCUGGGUCGGGGCUGAACUCGGUGUUGUCCCCAACCAUGCGUUUCUCGAAGUGUUCUUCGAUCAUCUGGAUGGGGAUGGUGCAGCCCGGGGAGCGUUGGCCCAAUUUUGGCAUUCAAAAAUGUAGAAAUAUUUUCCAUUAGUUUUUCCAACACAGGAAACUUUUUUUCCUAUUGAAUUUAUCUCCCAUUUUUAAUUUAAAUAAAGUAUUACCAAAUAAUUUGGCAUACAAAAUAAAAUUACCAACCUUAAAUUAAUUAGAAUAUUUUGUAAACAAACGAUUAUAUUAGGGGGACGUUUUGUUGGUCCAGUUCCACAGGCGGUCCUGUCGGAGUCUCGGAAGAAAUCGGCUCCUGGGCCGCUGACUGAGUUGAGUGUUCAGGCUCCUCCAGGGCCGCGGCGUCGCUUCCAGGUGUCCUCUUCUUGCUCCUCGUAGAUAUUGCGCUCUUUUGGGCCCGUUUUUUAACCGUAGAGCAAUCCUGGUGGUGUUUGGUGCUUCUGCAGGUCCGCAGGUCUUUGAAGCUUUGUUAGCAGACCGUGCAGUCAAAAACCACGUUGUUAAUCUUGUGUAGAACACGAAGGUGCUUCACCAGAUCGUUGUGCUGCUUGUAGAUCAACGCUGUCCAAAACCUGCGGCGUUUGCACAUUGGGAGGGUCGCUAUUUACGACCGGCAGCCGUAGGUUGUCUGCUGCUUCCUCUUGUUGGACCAAGGGACUCUCUGACGGCUGUUCAGGGAUGGAUGCUGGUGGGGCGUAUUUCUUUAGAGGAAGUACCCCUUUGAUCUUCCUCGGCGGCGUUCUUAUUGAUGUUGUAGGACCUCUGCAGCUUCGCCUCAGCAUCAAAGCUGGGUGCCGAUGGUCGGGUACUCCGAGGUUUUUAUGGUGGUGGCACUCUGCGUCUUGUCCAUGUGUCAGGUUUUCCGGUCUCGUUUUUAACUCCUUUGAUGAAAUUCUCGAUCAAGGAAAAGAGUGUUUCCCUGUCGGGUGCAGCUGUCCACUUUCCAUCCCACUCUUCCUGAAAGGGAGUGAGGGAUUUUCAGGGCGGGCGCUGCUGGAGUUCAUCAACUGGCUGUGAAGCUGGAGGAGGGGUGACCGGUGUAUCCUGUGGCAAGUGGGCAGGGUUGUCAGGUGGGGCGCUGCUUGAAGAUCAACGCUGUCCAAAACCUGCGGCGUUUGCACGUUGGGAGGGUCGCUAUUUACGACCGGCAGCCGUAGGUUGUCUGCUGCUUCCUCUUGUUGGACCAAGGGACUCUCUGACGGCUGUGCAGGGAUGGAUGCUGGAGGGGCGUAUUUCUUCAGAGGAAGUACCCCUUUGAUCUUCCUCGGCGGCGUUCUCUGGUAGGGGUGGGACAAAAGUUGUUUGGCCCGCUUCGCUGGUAGCCAAACUCGUCCCGUGAGCCUCCGGUCUGAAGGGUGUAGUCUCGGCGGAGAGGUCACUCACGGGGGGCGGGGGUGUUUUGUUGGUCCAGUUCCACAGGCAGUCCUGUCGGAGUCUCUGAAGAAAUCGGUUCCUGGGCCGCUGGCUGAGUCGAGUGUUUCGACUCCUCCAGGGCCGUAGAGUCGCUUCUAGGUGUCUUCUUCUUGAUCCUCUUAGAAGGUGCGCUCUUUUGGGCCCGUUUUUCAACCGUAGAGCAAUCCUGGUGGUGUUUGGCGCAGGUCUUUGAAGCUUUGUUGGCAGACCGUGCAGUGAAAAACUACGUUGUUAAUCUUGUGUAGAACAUGAAGGUGCUUCACCAGAUCGUUGUGCUGCUUGUAGACACCACUGCGGGUUACUCUCGCCAUCCCGUAACACUCGGGACAUUUAAAGACCUCAGGUAGCUGGAACGGCAUCCUAAACGGAUCACAAAGAGCGGGGGCAAGGUUGUGUAUAUGUGUCACAUUUGUGUGAGAACCUGGUAGGCGUGUGAGUGGGGGGUCAUUAGGGACUAACAAGAAGUGCUUCUAAAUCGAGAGAAGCUUUUAACUUCAGUAGUAUCCAGAAGCCUUACCACGGGUUGGAGUCAUUAGGGACUGACAAGAAGUGCUCCUAAAUCAAGAGAAGCUUUUAACUUCAGUAGUAUCCAGAAGCCUUACCACGGGUGGGGGGUCAUUAGGGACUGAGAAGAAGUGCUCUUAAAUCGAGAGAAGCGUUUAACUUCAGUAGUAUCCAGAAGCCUUACCACGGGUGGGGGUCAUUAGGGACUGACAAGAAGUGCUCCUAAAUCGAGAGAAGCUUUUAACUUCAGUAGUAUCCAGAAGCCUUACCACUGGUGGGGGGACAAACUGGACUAGCUGAAGUCACCGACAGAACUCUCGGGUUCAGGGGGGCAGGAAGUCCAUAAUGGUGGCAGCUGAGGCAAUUUUCACUCUGCUGAAAAUCAAGGGCUCUGAGAGCCUCAGCAGCUGUCUCAGAGGUUCCACGAGAAAAGUCCUCACUAAGAUACCCCUUGUAUUUGGUCCACAAUGAUCCAGUGUCGUUUGGAUUAUCGAAGAUGAGAAUUGUCGCAAAGAGCUGGCGCAGUUGACCUGACAUUUGGAACAAAGCCGCCUCAGCCAAGCAUGCAUCCCACUCAGAAUCAUCAGCCAAUAAUCCAGUGAUUUUUUAAAAAACUAAUUCAGCUAUUAUUGAAUAGUUAAAAGCUCUUAGAGUUGUCUUUUGAAUGCUGUUCAUAUGGAACAGGAUGUGAUGGAAGAUGUUAAGGAUCACUUUUCCUCCAUUCUUUCAUCCAUAUAUGUAUACAACAUUUGAUCACAUACACCGGCUGUACGAAGCCCACCCUGCACAGAUGGAUGAAGAAUACCAGGAACAUAUCCUGAACCUACUCAAGCCCAAGUUACCAACUCCUGUGUUCAGGACUUCUAUACCUGCACAGGUAAAUGGCAUCAAACCUCAUGUCACAUCACCUCAUGAAAAUUCUACAUUAGAACAUAUAAAUACUUUAUCCCAGAAUGUGAAUUCUCUGCCAGGGCAUGUGAAUUCCACACCAGCGCAAUCACAUAAAGAUACCCAGCAUACUGCCAUAGCAAACUCUUUCAAAAUCUGUAGAGAUAUUUUGCCCAAAGAAGAUAAGCAAAAAAUACUUUUGAUUCCAGCAGGUUUAAAUACAAAUUGAAAUAAGAUUAAUAAACUAAUGUAAAUAUGUGAAAGAGUUGUAUAAAAGUGAAUUCCUGCUCCGCCUUUGGAAGGAGGGAUGAAGAGCACCUCGUUGCUGGCCUGCAGAGGCAGGCCAGGCCAUUUCUUCCCUAGUCUCUUUAUCAGCAGGUCCACUUCCCUGAAGGAGGUCUUGUGGAUCAGGGAACCUCGAAGAAUGAAGUCGAGUCUUGUGUAGACGAAGGUCUUGGUGGCGUCGAUCUUCUGCCAAGUAGUGAGUAGGCUGUUGUUGAUUUUUUCCACAUCCUCCUUGAUUCCCUUGAUGGCUUCUCCGGGGUUCCUUGGCUUGUUGAAUCUGGUGGGUACUCCAAGGUGACAGUACGUGUCCUCUUCUCUCAUUGCUGAGAUUGGCUGUUCUUGGAUGCAAUGUCAGCAAUGGGUAUGCUAUCGCAUGUGUGGUGUCAGACGGGCUUACCACCAGAGCAUCGUGUUUGUGUCACGUGUUACACAGUGUGCAUUAGCGACCUGGUUGUUAUUACCAGGAGGUAAACAAACCUGGUCACGUGACAACGUGUGCAGAAACAUGCGCAAUAGGAUGGCCAAACUUGUCGAGAUGAGUGGCAGAACAAGGACGCAUGUCACGUGACGAAACAGACAUGGGUACAAUAACCUGGUCGAUUGCCGGGCCACGCGGCGAUGGUGCAUUGCGAUGGUACUCAAUUACACAUCUUUUUGGUGGGUUGUGAUGCAGAAUCUUCUUGGGGAAGUGAUCUUUUCAUCUGUUCAUUUUCCUGCUCCUUCUUCAAUUCAGCCACCACAGCAUUGGCAAUUCUUAUGGCAUUGUCUGUUCUUUCUUGAUAAACUUGUACGACCUCUUCUUCAGACAUUCCUAGUUUGAAUUCCUUCAAUAUCUUGUUUUUCAACAUUUUCACCAUAUAGCCGAGGUCCACUUUGUUAGAUUUGGGAAGAAGUGUUAUCGCUAGGCCAGUAUUUCCAGCCAUAGCAGUACGGCCUACUCUCCUGGUAUAGUCUUCCUUCACGUUGGGGCGAUCGAAAUUUAUCACCGCCGAGACUUCAGGGAAAUCCAUGCCCCUCCCUGCAACAUCUGUAGCCACCAUAUAAGAUUGGGAUUCCUCUUUGAACUUUCUCAAAUUCUUGUUCCGGUUAGCCCGAGCCAUAUCGCCAUGGAGCAUCAAUGGCCUGAAGCCAAGCGUUUCAAGAAUUCUGUGCAGCCGAAUAGUGCUGAAUUUUGUUUUGCAGAACAUCAGCACUCUCUUACGAUGAAAGGGUCCUUCUAGAAGUGCUGCCAGAUAGUAUUCCUUGUGCUCCGUUAAACAGCGAAGGUAGAAAUGUUCCAGAUGGGGGCUAAUCAGUGUGUCUGCUCGGAUUUCCACAAAGUCUUGCAGAGAAAGUCUAUUGAGAUCUAUAUUCUCCGCAGACAUAGUGGCGGAGAACAGCAAGGUCUGCCUCUCCUUGGGCAGCAGGUUCAGGAUUUCAUCCAGGUCUUUUUCGUUUUUAAGAAUCCGGUCCGCUUCAUCCAGGACCAGCACUUCGAGACAUUUUAAAGAGAAGUUCUUGGUCUUAGAUGGUGAAGGAGGCGUCCAGGGGUGGCGACAAUCACAUGGGGCCUCAGCUCGUUGAGCAGCGGGGCCUGAUGUUCAUAGCUGUCCCCACCCGUUAAAUGGACCACCGCGCAGGCGUGAUUUCCGCUGUGUCAAGUACGAGACUUGGCGACGUGGAAAUCCCACCAGAAGCACUGUACCGCGAACAGGGCCCAGCAGAAGUGCCAGGCCAAGAAAUUGGUGAAAUAAUUGCCUGCAUUUAAAAAUAUGGUUUGGGCUAUUAUCACGAAUCAAUAUUCUAUAACUGUAGAAGUCCAUUGAUGAAACCUUUUUAUUGGUUAUUGCGCCUGAUAAUUUGCAUAAUGUUAAAAUGGUAGCCGUCUUCACCAUAAGGGAAUAUCAAUGGAUAUUGAAGGGCAUCAUAGGACCGAUGUGUUUCUGAAAUUCGCUGUAUUAAGAUAGGUCAGGCCAUCCUCAAACUCGAUCGUUGAUGGUACAAAAUCACGUACGAGGAAGGAGGCGGAGGAAGUCACCUCGACGCAGAACUCACUAGAGCCAUAAUGAGUGGAAAUAGUAGCCAUGUCAUCAGAACCAAAGGUUUGAUAGCCCACAAGCAGAGCACCAAGCCCAGUAAUAUGGUCAGGAGUGACCUUGGCGAUAGGCAUCCAGGAAAAUGCUUUGUCGCCAGCUCGGUGAGUGUAGGUGUAGGUUCUAGUGUCACUUGCUCUAAAAGUGACGGCUCUGUGGUCGCGUUGAAUGUCCGUGAGAUGCAUCCAUGUGUAGUCUACACUGGAGUUUGGAGUAUCCAUGGAAUAGGGAAUGAAACAGACCGAGAUUGUACCACCUCUAUUCCUUACAUCAGUGUUAGUCAUAAUCCGGAAAUGCAGCGAUUGGAGCCGAGCCUCACGAUAAUGGCAAACAUAUUUACCAUCGUCGAUGCCAGCGUCCCAUUUCGCAGCAAGCCAUGGUGAAUUGAUCAUUAGAGAUCGAGCGUCGAUCUCAGCAGCAGCGGUGGUGCCACAAGGUAUGAAGGCUUGAUCAUACCAAUUGGUCAUUGUAGAUCCGAUAGGUCCGAGGAAACACUUAAGCAACAGGGGCCAGAGUCCGCUAGCAAUGGUACUGAUUGUUCCAAACCAGCUGGGUCCACCGGAAGCCUGAGGGAGUUGCGGCGCACAUAGAAACCGGCGAAACAAAUGACCAGUAGGGAGAGCAGAAGGAGCAACAAAAGGGUUGCGGCGACGACGAACUGGGCGCCUACGGUUGAUGACAAACCUAGGGCGUCCUUGACCACGACCUCUUCGUGCCAUUUCUUCUGCAGCAUUGCUUACAUGCUUUCUUCGUGCCAUUGUUUCUGAAAUUCGCUGUAACGAAUGACCUCGCCGUUGGAUAAUAAUGUCUGCAAAUGUGCAGCAUUUGGGGAGCUGCACAGGCUUCUUCCCAAUGACCCGAGCUCUAUCAGAGCUCUGAGCUCGGGCCAUUCCUGCUGGACACGUGGCGGCCAGCCUGCCGAGGGUGAUGGUCUUGGGGGAGGCAGUUGGGGCGAUGGGUCCAUCAAUGAUCCCAUAUUUAUUUACUAACCUCUGGACCUCUGCGAGGCCCACGUCUGACAUUUUUUUGUACAUUUUUUUGAGGCUAAAACCCCGGGUGGCAAUCAGGGUGAGGAGGGCGAUGAUGUCCACCGCCAACUGGGCUUUAUCCCCAUCACAUCUUUCCAACAUCGUGGCAAUGAUGAUGUUGGGGUUGAAGCCAGUUUACUGGCAAUGCUCACCGUAGGCCCCAAGCUCUCUCCGGGAGGUAAUCAGGCAUUGUCCGAGUUGCAAACUCGGACAUCCAGAGGAUGGGGUCGGCGUCGAAGCUCUGGAGCUCCGCAUCGGUGGGCUUCUUGAUGAGGUCCAAGAUGUCCUUGGGCCUCAUUGCGGUGGUAAACUUCCACCCCUCCUCCUCCGUUGGAGCGAUGUGGGAGGCCUUCUUGCUUGUACUUUGUGACAUCUUUGUAUUUGCUGACUAGGUUGCGCUAAAGAGACUAGAUGAACUUCUUACGAGAUUCGAAUCAAAUUAGUUCCCCACUCUGUGUGUGUGCGAUAUAAGUUCCAGGGCCGCGGAGUCGCUUCCAGGUGUCUUCUUCUUGCUCUUCGUAGAUGGUGCGCUCUUUUGGGCCCGUUUUUCAACCGUAGAGCAAUCCUGGUGGUGUUUGGCGCUUCUGCAGGUCUUUGAAGCUUUGUUGGCAGACCGUGCAGUCAAAAACCACGUAGUUGAUCUUGUGUAGAACACGAAGGUGCUUCACCAGAUCGUUGUGCUGCUUGAAGAUCAACGCUGUCCAAAACCUGCGGCGUUUGCACGUUGGGAGGGUCGCUAUGUACGACCGGCAGCCGUAGGUCGUCUGCUGCUUCCUCUUGUUGGACCAAGGGACUCUCUGAUGGCUGUGCAGGGAUGGAUGCUGGUGGGGCGUAUUUCUUCAUAGGAAGUACCUUAUUGGCGUUCUUAUUGAUGUUGUAGGACCUCUGCAGCUUGUCACCAGGGAGUUGGCUGACAACAGGGGUUGCCAGGAAGGUAUCUUCUAUAGUAAAGUUGGAUGUCUCCUAUUUCACUUUGAAGAGGCAGAUGCGCGGAAGUAUCUCCUUCUGCUGGCGGACCUUCAUGCAAUCCAGCUUGUU